CUUGCAGCUUAUUUGGUCCUAAGAAAAACAGGAUUUAUGGAGCAGCUGCUAUGGACAUUCAAGUGUGAGAAUGUGGAGAUCCAGAGUGUUCUUGAGGAUCUUAUAAAAGGAAGGGAACUGCAAACAACAAAUUUGAUGACAACUCUGCUAAUCAAAGAUCAAGCAACACAGCAAAUCAACUCAAUCCAAUUUCCUUUCAAAUCUUUAGUCGUUUAUUUCAAUCCAGUCAAUUUCCAUUUGAUUCCUGGUAUAGGAAUUUCAAUUUCUAAGUCCUGUAUUUCUAUUUCUAAUAUUUAUUACAAAAUCAAACAAAGAUCCAUUUGCAUUCCAAUAUAUAAAAGCCUUGUAAUCUGUUUUCGAUUUCACAAUGGCAAAACUCUCCAGUCCAACUAGUUCCCCACUGUGUGAUUUUUAGAAGUCAGUUUUAGCGCAUCUUUGGUUGACAUACCUAGUGUUUGGCAUGCUUGGUGGGGACUCGAACCCAUAAUCCUCUGAUACCCAUAAACUUCACACUUUCCUCUCAUAAGAAACCUAAUUUUACUCAAAUAUUUUUCUAUUUUACAACCUAGCUUCACUUUCCUCACUAUAAAACCAUCCAUCUUGUUACUGCUUACAAUCAAAAGCUGACGUUACAUCGCUCCAACAAUGUCUCACACGCCAUGAUAGCAUUUUGGUGGUCCCUGAACCUAUCUUCCUCAG
This 699-nucleotide unclassified non-coding RNA is filed under the name Hevea brasiliensis (rubber tree). Lineage: Eukaryota; Viridiplantae; Streptophyta; Magnoliopsida; Malpighiales; Euphorbiaceae. The record is from RNAcentral.